This 823-nucleotide long non-coding RNA is filed under the name Gossypium barbadense (sea-island cotton). RNAcentral's name for it is "long non-coding RNA (GBAR_LNC004771)". Lineage: Eukaryota; Viridiplantae; Streptophyta; Magnoliopsida; Malvales; Malvaceae. The record is from RNAcentral.
ACAAACCCAUCUUCCUCUCAGUCAAUCCGCAAGCUUCAUCGGCGCCGGAUGCACCUCCACCAUCGACGCGAUUUUAAUCGGACCCCCAAGGAUCUGAUGACCCUUUGACCGGAGAGGCAAAGGAGGAAUGAAUCGACACCGAAUCAGUAAGCCAAUCCUUUCCCCACCUUUUGUAUUUUCAUGACAAAUUCAAAAUAGAGAAAGAAAAUAAAGAAAACGAAGAAGUAACAACCAAGAUUAAUGAACGAAUCGCUUUAGAGUAUAUUUGCUUCCGUAUUCAAAUGCUAUUUAAGCGUAAUAUAUGAAAAAGGAAGGAAAAUAAUCAGAUCUUAAAUCACCUCUUGAAAACUGCUUUUUUUCAAACUCUCUUUUGAUACCGAUUUUUUACUACUAUUUAUUAUUAUUGCUUCAAAAUAAGACAGAAAGAACACAUAAAAGCAAAGAAAAGGAACAACCUUUGGGGUUUGAAUUCGAUUUCUCUUUCAAAAUCGCCUCUUUUUUUUAGUAUUGGAUAUCUGUAUUCAAUGUGCGUACCUUCUCUUACAAUGAAAAUAAGGCUUUUAUAUAGCCGAAAAUAAAAAGAAAAAAAUACAAAGAAUUUCAUUUUCCGUUCUUUUUCUUUGCUGCUGUUUUUUGCUUUGUUUUUGCUUGUCCUUGCUGUUGUGUUUGUCUGUUUCUUUGCAGGUGCGGAGGUACAGGGCCAGCUGUGGCGUACGGCUCGUUGUUGUGGAGGCGUGGACGUGGCCGUGCUGGAGGGUUGCGGCUACUAGGGAAACCCUAGGUUUCUGUUUAGCUGAAGUUGUUUUAGUUUUGGGCAGUUUGG